Molecule: ribosomal RNA, 497 nt
Filed under: uncultured bacterium
Lineage: Bacteria
Description: partial 16S ribosomal RNA
Rfam family: Bacterial small subunit ribosomal RNA
Source: RNAcentral
GAUGAACGCUGGCGGCGUGCCUAAUACAUGCAAGUCGAGCGAACAGACGAGGAGCUUGCUCCUCUGACGUUAGCGGCGGACGGGUGAGUAACACGUGGAUAACCUACCUAUAAGACUGGGAUAACUUCGGGAAACCGGAGCUAAUACCGGAUAAUAUAUUGAACCGCAUGGUUCAAUAGUGAAAGACGGUUUUGCUGUCACUUAUAGAUGGAUCCGCGCCGCAUUAGCUAGUUGGUAAGGUAACGGCUUACCAAGGCAACGAUGCGUAGCCGACCUGAGAGGGUGAUCGGACACACUGGAACUGAGACACGGUCCAGACUCCUACGGGAGGCAGCAGUAGGGAAUCUUCCGCAAUGGGCGAAAGCCUGACGGAGCAAAGCCGCGUGAGUGAUGAAGGUCUUAGGAUCGUAAAACUCUGUUAGUAGGGAAGAACAAAUGUGUAAGUAACUAUGCACGUCUUGACGGUACCUAAUCAGAAAGCCACGGCUAACUACGUG